Long non-coding RNA from Melanaphis sacchari, 578 nucleotides. RefSeq lists it as uncharacterized. The record is from RefSeq and is a predicted model, not a curated record. The transcript has 3 exons. NCBI's taxonomy places the organism in Eukaryota, Metazoa, Arthropoda, Insecta, Hemiptera, Aphididae.
ACUUUAGAUCAACUACUGCAACAAUUUAUUGUGAGUGCUAAUGUACCAUUUAGAAUUAUUGAAAAUCCAGUUUUAAAGGAAAUAAUUUCUGAAGGUUUUCCAAACAAAAAAAUUAUUUCUCGGCUUACAUUAUUGAAAAAAAUUGAGUGAUUUUCAAGAAUUAUCCUUACAAAUGAAAUUUGAGAUGUCCAAAUGUCCCCAUAUUGCUAUGGUUGCAUACGGUUGGUCGAUUUUUAAAAAAUCAUACAUUGGAAUAACUGUCAUGUGGAUUAAUGAACAUUUUUCAAGAAGUACUCGUAUUUUAGCAUUGAAUUGACUAGAAGGUUCACAUACGUUUGAUAUAUUAGCCAAAGCUAUGGAUGCAGUAUACAUUCAGUUUGAGAUUUCAGAAUAUCUGGUCAUAUAUUUGGUAAUGAAAAUGCUGAAAGUUUUAUUAGAUUACCAGUGAACGAUUCAAUAAAUGAAGAUUUAGAAGAAAUUGAUGUAAUAAACUUGAACAUUCUAAAUGAUGAAGACAAUGAUUUUGAUUUGCAAUAUACUUUACUUAAACACCAUCGAUGAUGUACACAUACAAUUAA